UACGGAGGGUGCAAACGUUGCUCGGAAUUAUUGGGCGUAAAGCGCACGUAGGCGGUCCAGCAAGUCGGGAGUGAAAUCCCUCGGCUCAACCGAGGAAGUGCUUUCGAAACUACUGGGCUUGAAUACUGGAGAGGGUUGCGGAAUUCCCGGUGUAGAGGUGAAAUUCGUAGAUAUCGGGAGGAACACCAGUGGCGAAGGCGGCGAUCUGGGAAGAUACUGACGCUGAGGUGCGAAAGCGUGGGGAGCAAACAGG
Molecule: ribosomal RNA, 253 nt
Filed under: uncultured bacterium
Lineage: Bacteria
Description: partial 16S ribosomal RNA
Rfam family: Bacterial small subunit ribosomal RNA
Source: RNAcentral